RNAcentral lists this ribosomal RNA (485 nucleotides) under uncultured bacterium. RNAcentral's name for it is "partial 16S ribosomal RNA". It matches the Rfam family "Bacterial small subunit ribosomal RNA", at positions 28 to 523 of the family's 1533-position model. The record is from RNAcentral.
GACGAACGCUGGCGGCGUGCUUAACACAUGCAAGUCGAACGAUGAACCCGGAGCUUGCUCCGGUGGAUUAGUGGCGGACGGGUGAGUAACACGUGAGUAACCUGCCCUUGACUCUGGGAUAACUGCGGGAAACUGUAGCUAAUACCGGAUACGACCCUCGGCGGCAUCGCCAGGGGGUGGAAAGAAUUUCGGUCAAGGAUGGACUCGCGGCCUAUCAGCUUGUUGGUGGGGUGAUGGCCUACCAAGGCGACGACGGGUAGCCGGCCUGAGAGGGUGACCGGCCACACUGGGACUGAGAUACGGCCCAGACUCCUACGGGAGGCAGCAGUGGGGAAUAUUGCACAAUGGGCGCAAGCCUGAUGCAGCGACGCCGCGUGAGGGAUGACGGCCUUCGGGUUGUAAACCUCUUUCAGCACCGACGAAGCGCAAGUGACGGUAGGUGCAGAAGAAGGACCGGCCAACUACGUGCCAGCCGCCCGCCGUAA